GACUCGGUAGCGGAUGGCCCGCGUCCGCUUAACAUGCACUAGUUGGAGACAAUACAUGUGGAAGCCGCCUGUUUGAAUCAGGCCCGAGUCC
Mycena galopus ATCC 62051 is the source of this 91-nucleotide non-coding RNA. Lineage: Eukaryota; Fungi; Basidiomycota; Agaricomycetes; Agaricales; Mycenaceae. The record is from the annotation of a GenBank genome assembly.